Molecule: long non-coding RNA, 2036 nt
Filed under: Mytilus galloprovincialis (Mediterranean mussel)
Lineage: Eukaryota; Metazoa; Mollusca; Bivalvia; Mytilida; Mytilidae
Source: RNAcentral
UAUAAAUCAAAACAUCGUGUUAUUUCUGAUUAAUUUUUCGAAUUACUUUAUUAAGGUGUUGAGAACCUUUGGAGGCCCCAUAGUUUAAGUGUCUUUAAAAGUACAUAGUGAGCAGUGGUCGUUACAUACAAACGUUCACCUAAAUUGUCCCAGUCAAUGGAUGAAUUUAAUGUGUCAAUCAAUGGCCACAGCCACACUGUUUUGAAUUUCAUUCUAAUGCUUUGCAUCAAGUUUCCCCUUGGUAUAUGUACAAAAUGGCCGAUCUCUAUUAUUCAUUGCAUCUGUAGUUUUGAUACAAUUGAAGUUUGAAAAGUUCGUACAAAAAUGACUACAGAAGGGGUCAUAAACCUUAAAAAAAAUCCUGUCAUUGUUGUAUAUAAAGAUAAAACAUAUUUAGAGUAGAGUGUUUAUGAUCUCAAAUCCAAGAUACUCCUUUAUUUUUAAUUUUUGAUAUAAAUGAUAAAAGUAAUUAAAAUGAUGGAAAUUAUAAAGUAAAAAUGUAUUAUGGUCUGAAUUAAGUACGAUUCCAACGAAAAUCAUAGCUGGUCGACUCCUCCUUUAUUUCUUGAACAACUGAAAUUCUUGGCACGAUCUUUUCAAUUUGUGUUUUUCCAAUUCAAUUUUCUAUUCGAAUAAUGACAAUAAUCAGCCAAAGCAAAAAUCGAUUCUAUUUUGUACAUUUACUUUCUUGUCAAUAUUCAAAAUAAUUAAAUUUCUCAGAAGUAAAAUCUGAUUUAUAGUAGUGUCAAGUAUGAUAGACUGAACCGUUUUAUUUAAUUUGCUUCCAUGUAAAAGUUUUGUAAUCAUCGUGUGAAGGAUAGCAAGUCUACCUCCUUAGUCUAAAUAUAGCAAAGCUACCUUUUGAAAGUGUUUUAUAAUGGGAAAUAAAACUACUUUAACAAGAUUUACAUAUUCAUAUGCAUUUGGGAGUCAUAAACUGACUUUUAAAUGAAACAUUUAUUAGUCUUUUGAAAUAGAUUAUAUUAAUGACUGUAUUGAGAAAUGUUAAGUUAAACGAGAAGGUGUAAAAACCCGUAAUGACGGUGCAUUCCAGUAAGUGGCUUGUGACGUUGACUCAGCAACUAGGAUUAUAGGUUUGAAACAUGUAUAAAAAUCAUCGAUCAUGAAGUCGAGGGGUACACAUGGUUGCAUAGGUUCAAAAUAUGGGACGUGGGUUUUAUUUUUUCUAUUUGAGGGAAUGCUUUUUUUUUAAUAUCAUGGAAAUGAUUAAAGGGAAUGUUUUUUUUUUAAUAUGACGGAGAAAGAAAAAAAAACACCAAAUAAACCCUCACAAUUAGAAGAGUGCACAGUUUUACAUUUAAAGGUAUACAUAUUAAAUAUGAAUAAAAAAUUAGUUUUUCUAAAAAAAGUAGAUAAAAAAAAUAAAUGCUGAACACAUAGACCUAUAUAAGAUACUCAAACAAUUAUAAAACAUGUACAUUACGAAACUGAUUAGUUGUAUGUGGCAUAUUGUUUAACAAUUCUUGCUAGAAUGAUAAUGCAUUUAAACUAUAUAAUCACUUGUUUAAAAUAAAGAAUAAAUGUGUUAAGGGUUUCUAAACAUUACUUCUUUUUUUAUGAGGAAAACUUAAACACGCAUACUUUUUAACAUUAUUUAGAUUUUUAUAUUUACUUUUUUUAGCGUUUCGAACAUUUUUUACAAAGCGCUGGCUGGUGUAGACUUCUAGUCAUAGGUCAUGAUUCAUAGGCCAUGAAAUGCCGCUUCCUUGUGCAAUUUUAAUUGAAUUAUGUGUAAAUUGUGAUAAAAGUGAAUUCCAUGUUGUUAUUAUUAUUAUUACUAUUCUUAAAAUUGUUGUUUUACUAAAAAUAAACUUUAAAUAUCAAAUCAGUGUUAUUUUUUGUUUUACUUGUAUUCUAGAGAAAAUAUACGAAAUACGAAAUAUUUUAUUAAAGAAAGCUCAAUUAUGAACAUUAAUAGCAUAGAUACAACAAAGAAUAACAUUUAAACAAUAUAUAUAUGGUGGUGGAUAGAGAAAGCUACAGAAACAUCUCACUGUUUACAACGAAGGAAACCC